CCCCAGUAGCGGCGAGCGAAAAGGGACCAGCCCAAAGCCGAAUCCCGCGUCCCCUGGGCGACGGGAAAUGUGGCGUAUGGGAGACGGAACUUUCCGCGCUUUGAGGGUGGCUCAAGUCCCCAUGAACGGGGCUACGACCGGAGCGGGUGUGAGUCCCGUACAGUCGCCCUUCUCGCGCGGAGCCUCCGUUUUCCCGGGAGUCGGGUUGCUUGAAAGUGCAGCCCAAAGUGGGUGGUAUGCUCCACCUAAGGCUAAAUAUCCCCGAGAGACCGAUAGCAAAAAAGUACCGUGAGGGAAAGUUGAAAAGAACUUUGAAGRCGCUUAGAGGUAAACGGGUGGGCCCUCGAAGUCUGAGGGCGGAUCGGUUCAGUGGCGGGUUCCGCGGAGAGCACCGGUGGGUCUAGGCGAACGAGCCGCCCGGCCCUACGGUGUCCCUAAAUCUCCGCGGGCCCCCGCGCACUUCGGUUCCGCCGGCAAGAGGCCGCGACCGGUUGGUCGAGGGUCGGAAGGACGGCCUGGGGGAAAGGUGGCCUGCCGCGCCUCGGCGCGGCGGGUGUUACAUCCCCCGGCGCAGGUAUAGCCGAUCUUCGCACCGACUCGGGACGAGAGAGAACCUCGCGCUGCGCUCCCUCCGAACGGAGCGUCCCCCGGCGAGCCCGACGUUCGACCCGGCGGUCUUUCACCCUCCGGGUGGGCCGCUUAGGGAAGGCGGCGGGAGCGUCGACGGGGCGCCGCGGGAACACAAGCCAGAGGUCGGCGGUCAGUAGA
This 768-nucleotide ribosomal RNA is filed under the name Tyrannochthonius sp. 3549. Its description in RNAcentral is "partial large subunit ribosomal RNA". The record is from RNAcentral. Lineage: Eukaryota; Metazoa; Arthropoda; Arachnida; Pseudoscorpiones; Chthoniidae.